RNAcentral lists this ribosomal RNA (259 nucleotides) under uncultured archaeon. Its description in RNAcentral is "partial 16S ribosomal RNA". It matches the Rfam family "Archaeal small subunit ribosomal RNA", at positions 748 to 1009 of the family's 1478-position model. The record is from RNAcentral.
CAGCCGUAAACUAUGCGCGUUAGGUGUAUCGGUGACCACGAGUCACCGAGGUGCCGAAGGGAAACCGUGAAACGUGCCGCCUGGGAAGUACGGUCGCAAGGCUGAAACUUAAGGAUUGGCGGGGGAGCACCACAACGGGUGGAGCCUGCGGUUUAAUUGGACUCAACGCCGGGAAGCUCACCGGAUAAGACAGCGGAAUGAUUGCCGGGCUGAAGACUCUGCAUGACUAGCUGAGAGGAGGUGCAUGGCGUAGACGUCU